Molecule: ribosomal RNA, 440 nt
Filed under: uncultured bacterium
Lineage: Bacteria
Description: partial 16S ribosomal RNA
Rfam family: Bacterial small subunit ribosomal RNA
Source: RNAcentral
CCUACGGGAGGCAGCAGUAGGGAAUAUUGCUCAAUGGGGGCAACCCUGAAGCAGCAACGCCGCGUGGAGGAUGAAGGCUUUAGGAUUGUAAACUCCUUUUGUUAGAGAAGAUUAUGACGGUAUCUAACGAAUAAGCACCGGCUAACUGCGUGCCAGCAGCCGCGGUAAUACGGAGGGUGCAAGCGUUAUGCGGAAUGACUGGGCGUAAAGAGUGCGUAGGCGGGGUAAUAAGUCAGAUGUGAAAUCCUGUAGCUUAACCACAGAACUGCAUUUGAAACUGUUACUCUGGAGUGUAGGAGAGGUAGGCGGAAUUCGUGGUGUAGGGGUGAAAUGCGUAGAGAUCAGGAGGAACACUCAUUGCGAAGGCGGCCUGCUGGAACAUUACUGACGCUGAUGCACGAAAGCGUGGGGAGCAAACAGGAUUAGAUACCCCAGUAGUC